This 755-nucleotide ribosomal RNA is filed under the name Salmonella enterica. Its description in RNAcentral is "partial 23S ribosomal RNA". It matches the Rfam family "Bacterial large subunit ribosomal RNA", at positions 1 to 688 of the family's 2925-position model. Lineage: Bacteria; Pseudomonadati; Pseudomonadota; Gammaproteobacteria; Enterobacterales; Enterobacteriaceae. The record is from RNAcentral.
GGGUUGUGAGGUUAAGCGACUAAGCGUACACGGUGGAUGCCCUGGCAGUCAGAGGCGAUGAAGGGCGUGCUAAUCUGCGAUAAGCGCCGGUAAGGUGAUAUGAACCGUUAUAACCGGCGAUACCCGAAUGGGGAAACCCAGUGUGACUCGUCACACUAUCAUUAACUGAAUCCAUAGGUUAAUGAGGCGAACCGGGGGAACUGAAACAUCUAAGUACCCCGAGGAAAAGAAAUCAACCGAGAUUCCCCCAGUAGCGGCGAGCGAACGGGGAGGAGCCCAGAGCCUGAAUCAGCAUGUGUGUUAGUGGAAGCGUCUGGAAAGGCGCGCGAUACAGGGUGACAGCCCCGUACACAAAAGCGCAUAUGCUGUGAGCUCGAUGAGUAGGGCGGGACACGUGGUAUCCUGUCUGAAUAUGGGGGGACCAUCCUCCAAGGCUAAAUACUCCUGACUGACCGAUAGUGAACCAGUACCGUGAGGGAAAGGCGAAAAGAACCCCGGCGAGGGGAGUGAAAAAGAACCUGAAACCGUGUACGUACAAGCAGUGGGAGCCCCACCACUAAGCCAGUGGUGAACUCCACAUACGCAUCCUUUGCUGAGGAUACGGUUAACGGAGCGAAAGCGACGUUCAACCGCAAAAGAAGCAGAGGGGGCUUAGUGGUGGGGUGACUGCGUACCUUUUGUAUAAUGGGUCAGCGACUUAUAUUCUGUAGCAAGGUUAACCGCAUAGGGGAGCCGGAGGGAAACCGAGUCUUAAC